This is a transfer RNA of 75 nucleotides. It matches the Rfam family "tRNA". Rfam says of the family: Transfer RNA (tRNA) molecules are approximately 80 nucleotides in length. Their secondary structure includes four short double-helical elements and three loops (D, anti-codon, and T loops).
GCCCUUGUAGUUCAAUGGACAGAACGAAAGCUUCCGAAGCUUUUAAUGUGGGUUCAACUCCCACCAAGGGUACUA